Molecule: ribosomal RNA, 395 nt
Filed under: uncultured bacterium
Lineage: Bacteria
Description: partial 16S ribosomal RNA
Rfam family: Bacterial small subunit ribosomal RNA
Source: RNAcentral
AUACGUAGGUGGCAAGCGUUGUCCGGAAUUAUUGGGCGUAAAGCGCAUGUAGGCGGUUUGGUAAGUCGGUCGUGAAAAUGCGGGGCUUAACGCCGGAUGGCGAUUGAAACUGCUGAACUUGAGUGCCGGAGGGGAAGGGGAACUCCCAAGGUAGCGGUGAAAUGCGUAGAUAUUGGGAAGAACACCGGUGGCGAAGGCGCCUUUCUGGACUGUGUCUGACGCUCAGAUGCGAAAGCCAGGGUAGCGAACGGGAUUAGAUACCCCGGUAGUCCUGGCCGUAAACGAUGGGUACUAGGUGUGGGAGGUAUCGACUCCUUCCGUGCCGGAGUUAACGCAAUAAGUACCCCGCCUGGGGAGUACGGCCGCAAGGCUUAAACUCAAAUGAAUUGACGGGG